AUGAACGCUGGCGGCGUGCCUAAUACAUGCAAGUCGAGCGAACGGAUGAGGAGCUUGCUCCUCUGACGUUAGCGGCGGACGGGUGAGUAACACGUGGAUAACCUACCUAUAAGACUGGGAUAACUUCGGGAAACCGGAGCUAAUACCGGAUAAUAUAUUGAACCGCAUGGUUCAAUAGUGAAAGACGGUUUUGCUGUCACUUAUAGAUGGAUCCGCGCCGCAUUAGCUAGUUGGUAAGGUAACGGCUUACCAAGGCAACGAUGCGUAGCCGACCUGAGAGGGUGAUCGGCCACACUGGAACUGAGACACGGUCCAGACUCCUACGGGAGGCAGCAGUAGGGAAUCUUCCGCAAUGGGCGAAAGCCUGACGGAGCAACGCCGCGUGAGUGAUGAAGGUCUUCGGAUCGUAAAACUCUGUUAUUAGGGAAGAACAAAUGUGUAAGUAACUAUGCACGUCUUGACGGUACCUAAUCAGAAAGCCACGGCUAACUACGUG
Molecule: ribosomal RNA, 496 nt
Filed under: uncultured bacterium
Lineage: Bacteria
Description: partial 16S ribosomal RNA
Rfam family: Bacterial small subunit ribosomal RNA
Source: RNAcentral